This 871-nucleotide ribosomal RNA is filed under the name Triticum aestivum (bread wheat). RNAcentral's name for it is "partial small subunit ribosomal RNA". Lineage: Eukaryota; Viridiplantae; Streptophyta; Magnoliopsida; Poales; Poaceae. The record is from RNAcentral.
UGCCCCCACGAGGCCACGACCACACAUGCCCCCACCCCAUCUCCCCUUCCUCCCGACCCUUAGCCCUAGCCCCUGAUCUCGUCGCCGCCAUAAUCAACGCACGGACAGAGUGGCGGCGCCCGCUCGGCUCCGCCGCAAUGACCGCAGCCGGCGCGAGGCAUCGCUCUAGGUGGCGUGGCGGUGACCCAACACCCGCGACCGCAACCACCCGCGGUGUAGCUGCUCAUGGCGACGGUGGUGCACGCUUACUCGCAGCCACCGGUGGCUGCUCCCCAUCUCCAGAUGGUCCCGACACGGUCGCAAGCGGCGCGACGACACCCUUCACUACUGCCCCUCCGAGCGUCCGCGACUGCAGUUACGUUUCUUCUCAUCUUGGCGUCCUCCGGAUCCGCCAUCACCGAUGCCGCGCUUUUCCCAUCCGCGACCUCUCGGUGUUAUCUGAUCCCCGAUGUUGUCUCUGUCCAUGAAACCUCCUCCUCAGCCCCUUGUGCUGCCCUCUCGCACGGCUUCUCCUCACGACAUUCUUCUUUGCCAUAAAGCCCCUCGGUCGAAUCUCCGACUCAUUGCAAAUCGAAAUUGCCGACCCAGCCAAUCUCACCGUGCUCCACUGAUUGUAAGUACUUUGGACCUCUGCUUCCUAUAUACACUUGCAAUAUUUGAGGGUUCAUGAAUGGAAUGGCGAGAUGACUUUUUGGAUGCUUAGAUUCUUGAUGUGUGUUCUAUAGUUUCCUUGACCCAUGGUCUGGAAGCAGGAAGGCAAGGAGCCAAAUUGUGCUUUAUUACUUUAUAAGAGACAGUCUGGUGCAGAAAGACGCCACUGCAGAGGGAAGGUUCUAUUUUCAUGGGCUUGCUUAGCUACUAAGGAGAUGGG